AAACAUGCUUAAGUGAAACUCAGUGGAGGACAUGAGUACACUUACAGACCAAAGACGCCUAUCCCUCCUGUGCUUGGGCAUGAAAUUUCCAGAAUCAGAAGAAAAGAAUCUCUUACAGCAUUUAGCAGAGGAGAAGUUCCACUGGCAGAGGAGCAGCAGAGAAAGAAGAAAAGAAGUAGGCAGAUGUCAGAGGGAAGCAGCUUGACUUUAGAGGGAUGGCUUGAUGCUGGGACUUCAGAGAAGAACCUGGCAGGGGAUGGACAGACUCUAGGAGAAGACCACCUUCUCACUCCAUCGCCUUUCCAGCUCCCAUUCCCCCUGAAAGCCUGUGUCAUAGGCAAUAAAAUC
RNAcentral lists this long non-coding RNA (348 nucleotides) under Homo sapiens (human). Its description in RNAcentral is "HSALNT0373657". The record is from RNAcentral. Lineage: Eukaryota; Metazoa; Chordata; Mammalia; Primates; Hominidae.